CCGUGAGCCAACAUGCCGGGGGAGGGGAGUGCGGGUGAUGCAGCAUGGGAAUGACAGAGCCCCCUUCUCCCUCCCAGGGUAAGAAAUGGAGCCCAUCAGGUCUGAAACCAGAAGUACAAGUUCCCCCCGUUGCAUUUUUGUGAUCCAGAGUCCUGCUGAAAAGACCAUGAGGAAGUCUGGCAAAAACUAAUGACCCGAUCCAUGCAUGGAGCCCCUGUUGACUUGAACUGGCAGCAGCUGAGUGUGGAGUUACUAAGAACAGAAAAUGUAGUUGGGAGGGAUGUUGUCAUUGUAUGCAUCCAUAAAGCACCAUACACAUGCCAUGUGACUAAACAAUAACUCCAGCAACUGAAAUGGUUAGGGCCCUAUGUAUGUACUUACAUGACUUCCAUCACUGUUGCAUCAAAGCACCUAACUUCCUAAACCCCAAAAUAUAGAAGUUUGGUCUGGGUAGUCUAUGUAGUGCUUGCUGCCCUGACCCCUCAAUCUUGGGGACUGCUUUUGUCCACCGCUCUGAAGCAAGUAGCUGAGAGGAUAUUCAAUAGCCAGAUUCCACAGCUGUGGCAUUGCAGGCCUGGGUCCUGGGGUGGUAGAGACUGUGCAGUUGAUCUCUGGAGAGGAAGGAGUAAAUGCUGGAUGCAUGGCACCCUGUGCCAGCUGGCUUGGGAGGAGAAACAUUGGCUUUGAUUGUGCAAGCAGGUGCCUGCUUCCCCUCCUCAUCCGAUGGAGAGAGCUAGGGAACAGCUGUAAGCAGAGCAAAGUUAAAAAAAUAGAGGGAAAUAGGGAUUAAAAAAUAACUGGCUUGUCUGGCACUGGGAACUUGACAUGUUUUUCAUCUAAAUUAAAGAGAAAGUUGUGCUGUUGUUUUUCUGUAGUGAAACAAUUGGCUAAUACAAGAGCUGCACAUUUUCGAGAAGUGAGAACAAGCCAUAUGUCUUCCAUAAAAACAUACUGAUACAGUUGAGCCUGCAAUUUCAGCUCUGUGGUAAAUCAUUUUUCUCACAUGCCAUGGUUAAAUCAAGCACUAUUUUUAUUUGCCAAAAUGUAUUCACAGCAUUGUAUUAUCAUUCAUCUCUGUCAGUUUUGCAUUUGUUAUCAUUGACACAUGGUAAAGUAGUUUUAAUUAUCUCUGAACGCAAGAACUGAGCAUUUUUUCUAUUCAAUACUGUCUAUUUUACUUCCAGUAUCUAAGCUACCAUAAUACAAAUGUUA
Malaclemys terrapin pileata is the source of this 1212-nucleotide long non-coding RNA. RefSeq lists it as uncharacterized. The transcript has 3 exons. NCBI's taxonomy places the organism in Eukaryota, Metazoa, Chordata, Testudines, Emydidae. The record is from RefSeq and is a predicted model, not a curated record.